Molecule: long non-coding RNA, 1222 nt
Organism: Cyprinus carpio carpio
Lineage: Eukaryota; Metazoa; Chordata; Actinopteri; Cypriniformes; Cyprinidae
Source: Ensembl
CGUGUUGUCAGGUUGACCGAGUCCAACUCCAUACCAAGAAAAGAGAUCCUCUGCACUGGAGAGAGUUUGCUCUUUUCCCAGUUGACCCGAAGUCCCAACUGGCUGAGGUGACUGAGCAGCAUGUCCCUGAGCUUGCACAACUGCUUCCAGGACUGAGCCAGAAUGAGCUGGUCGUCGAGAUUGAGAAAUGUGCCCUGUUCUCUCAUGGGAACAAGGGCUGCCUCCGCAACCUUCAUAAACACGUGGGGUGACAGGGACAGCCUGAAGGGAAGGAUCUUGUACUGAUAUGCCCGUCCCUCAAAGGCAAAGCGGAGAAACUGCCUGUGCCUAUAGGGAGAAUCGAGACAAGAAAGUAUGUGUUCUUCAGGUCGAUCACUGCAAAACAAUCUCGGGGCCGGAUACAUUCGAAAAUGCAUUUCUGUGUCAACAUUUUGAACAGUAGCUUGUGAAGGCUCCGGUUCAAAACUCGCAGGUCCAAGAUUGGUCGUAACCCACCGCCUUUCUUGGGUACAAUGUACAAAGUAAGGGCUGUAAAACCCCGACCUCAUAUUGGCUGGAGGGGCCGAGUCUAUUGCAUCCAGGACUGCGAUUUCUGCCCAUAAGAAAGGGGCAUCGCUGGUCAGCACGGAGGUGAACUGGUGAACUGAACUUGGGUGGACGCUGAUCUGACAGUCCGAGCCAGCGAGACGGACUGGGAAGCGCUAGCCAGGCUCCCAGAAACCGUCCAAGCAGGACCAGAGGAACUACAGACGUAUCCAUGGUGGGGCAGUGUGGUGGAAGACAGGGACCCGACUCUGAAGGCAUAGCAUCCCGAAGUGGGGUCUGGGUGUGUGGUGCAACACCUACCUGGAUCCACGGUUGGGCAGGGGGUGCAGGGCUUUUUUUGUCCAGCGGCACCGUAAGCCUUGGCCGUAAGCAGGAACGAGAACUCACAGGCCCUGGAUGGGAUACGGGGGUUACCCCUCUAGGUGGAAGCGCUUCUUGGACACAAUUGCAUCGCAACCACGCGCUCCACCGGGGGGACCACCGCAUAUCCCCUGGUCACCCCACCAUCGAGGGUAGUGAGGGAGAAGGCGGCACCGAAUGAAACGGCAGGACCCCCGUACAAGGAACCGACAUGUUCACCCGGCAGCUCCACAGCUUGGUCACAAUGAUCAUACUGCCACAGUGACAGCAUGACUCAUCCACGAAGGCUGCCUCAGCAUGUUCAAGCACCAGCUAG